This is a long non-coding RNA of Anguilla rostrata (American eel), 1692 nucleotides long. RefSeq lists it as uncharacterized. NCBI's taxonomy places the organism in Eukaryota, Metazoa, Chordata, Actinopteri, Anguilliformes, Anguillidae. The record is from RefSeq and is a predicted model, not a curated record. The transcript is spliced from 2 exons.
CCCCCCCCCCCCCCAAUCCUCCCUGUGUUUGGCAGAGCCAAUCCUGGGAUGGCGUCGUGCUCUGAGGCCUUUUCUGGAUGAGGCUAUGCUAAAGAACAAUGUUAGCGACUGUCUAUCACGACACGCUAAAGAUAUCCUGGAUCUGCCCUGCUGGGGCUCGCGUGGGAGCAGGUUCCCCACCGAAGCAAAAGCCGGACCUCCCGUACGCAAACAAUCUGGACUCCCUCAGGAAGCCUCAUGUGGGUGUCUUCGAAUUAGCAUUCUGGGCUGAUUUUUUUUGAACCACCAACAUGGAAUUAUUUCACUUUUAGUUCCAUCAAAAUACUUUUUUUUCGCAUGAUGUCACCCGCUGCAUUUGGGCGGUAUUUAAAUAGAAAAAUCGUGCUCUGUAUGCUCUUUGAUAGAACAACCAGUUCAAGGAAAGAGUCUGAGAGAGUUGUGCCAAUGUACAUUCGACGUUAUUACCUUUCUUCUUCUUCUCGUUCUUCUUCUCGUCAAAUUUUACAGGGGAAAUGUUAUGCUGUUUAGAAAUGUAAUGCUAUGCAAUAUUUAGCUGUAUAAAAUACGAGUAUAAUUCAGGUUUCAGGUGCAGUCAAUUUCCUUUUCAGACUCAAUGACAAAUUUCAGAGAAUGAUCUUUCUCUUCUCUGUACAUCAGCAGUGUAUGUACCAAGACUAAAACUAAUGGAGUUUCUAAAUGCAGUGUUAUUGCUUUGGGGUGGCAUUGUCAAAUUGCUUAGGACAGAAGGUUACUCUACUGUUUUACUGAGAUACUUCACCUGAAGUUCUUCUGUUGUCUAAAAGUACAAUAAUGUAAAAUUUGACUCACAUUGGAUAAGGGUAUCCAUUAAUAUAGUGUAAAGGUGUUUGUUAUUUUGACGUCCCAGAAAGUAAAAUUAAAUUUAAAGAUACAUGCUAAUCAAUCAAUUUUUAUGUUGUUAUCCUCUGAAAAACCAGAUAUUUGUCAUGCAUAUAAAAUCUAAUUUUCUCACCUCAGACAGGCACUUUAGCCACAGGAGGAGGCAGAGGGAGCAGGAGAAUGUUUAAAAUGAGGGCAUUACUUCUCAAUUAGUCCCUCAGCAACCCUCAUUAGUUUCAAUGAUGUUGACACAAACAAACCCAGCAUGCUGGCCCCGCUUCUCCGCUGAGGUCAUCGCUACGGCAACUUCCCUGAGUCAGAGACAGUGGCUGGCUCGGCAUCAUUUUUGCUGGAGGGGUUAGCUGGCCAGGAAGAAGAGGAGCAGCAUGAUCUCUGGCAUGUUUGAGAAAGAGGCCGUCCCUUUUACUCCAAGGUGAUCACCUUCAGUCCCAACCGUCAGGCCUCAUCAACCAGCGAAAAGGUGCCAGUGACUUCUGACGUUCUCGUUAUUGUCAGACAGAUACUCGUCAGGAACGCGGGAUGACCAGUGAAAAUGAGCAGCAGUGUUCCAAACUACUGUACCUGCGCCAGAAUCCAUAUUGAUUCUAGAGCAGGGGUGAGGAACUGAGAGAAAUUUAAUGCGCAGAGAUUAGCAUGUAUCAGAGAUUUAGGCAAAGCAAAUCCUUGGCAAUGUUAGCCAGCCGCUAACAUGUCAAACUAUGAAAAUAAAGUAAGAUGGAGGAAUUCACUAAAUGCACACAAGGAGAUAAGGGGACACAUUCAAUCCAGCACCCAUAAGGUUUUAUUGUGAAAAUUAAAUUAGUACUAAUUGUG